AGGACGAACGCUGGCGGCGUGCUUAACACAUGCAAGUCGAGCGGAAAGGCCCUUCGGGGUACUCGAGCGGCGAACGGGUGAGUAACACGUGAGCAACCUGCCCUUAGCUUCGGGAUAGCUCCGGGAAACCGGAAUUAAUACCGGAUAUGACUAUGGCCGACAUCAGCCAUGGUGGAAAGUUUUUCGGCUAGGGAUGGACUCGCGGCCUAUCAGCUAGUUGGUGAGGUAACGGCUCACCAAGGCGACGACGGGUAGCCGGCCUGAGAGGGCGACCGGCCACACUGGGACUGAGACACGGCCCAGACUCCUACGGGAGGCAGCAGUGGGGAAUAUUGCGCAAUGGGCGAAAGCCUGACGCAGCGACGCCGCGUGGGGAUGAAUGCCUUCGGUUGUAAACCCCUUUCAGCAGGACGAAGCGAAAGUGACGGUACCUGCAGAAGAAGCGCCGGCGUAACUACGCGCCAGCACGCCGC
This 473-nucleotide ribosomal RNA is filed under the name uncultured bacterium. RNAcentral's name for it is "SSU rRNA". It matches the Rfam family "Bacterial small subunit ribosomal RNA", at positions 26 to 518 of the family's 1533-position model. The record is from RNAcentral.